UCUUCUCUACUAGAAAGUGUAGAUAAAUAGCAUAUAUAGCGUUAUUGAUUCAACGAAAUUUCUUUAACACUCCGUUACAUAUACUUAAUGCAACAUUAGUUUCGGUAUUCCACACCUUAUUAAAAUAAGUUGCGGCAAUAACAAUAAUUAGUCAUAUAAUUAUUUUUGGUAUAUAUACUAGUAUUAUCAAGUAAGAAAGUCUAUGUUAGUUAACUCACUGCAGUACACGAACAAUAUGUCGGUUACCAAUGCAACAACUUCGCUUGUAUUCCUUGGAUUCAUAACAAUGCUAUUAAUUGAGCUAUCACUGGGAUUAUCCUGCAAAAUGGAACAGGACCCGAAGACAUGCAUUGAAUAAUAUUGGAUUCUUUAAUAGGUCAAGAACUACUAGCUACUGAUAUGAGUUAGACAAUAAUUAAUAAUUUUCUUGUUGUUCUAUAUCUCUAUAUAUAUUUUACAUUUUCCAUAUCGAAUUCCAAUUUUAUUGAAGCACUAAUUCUAUAUAAAUGAAUUUUCGUAAUCAAACCAAAUAAAAUCAAACCUAUUUGCAAAAGAA
Long non-coding RNA from Zeugodacus cucurbitae (melon fly), 556 nucleotides. RefSeq lists it as uncharacterized. The transcript has 2 exons. NCBI's taxonomy places the organism in Eukaryota, Metazoa, Arthropoda, Insecta, Diptera, Tephritidae. The record is from RefSeq and is a predicted model, not a curated record.